UAGGGAAUAUUGGGCAAUGGGCGCAAGCCUGACCCAGCCAUGCCGCGUGCAGGAUGAAGGCGCUCAGCGUUGUAAACUGCUUUUAUCUGGGAAGAACUGUAGUCCUGCGGGAUUGCUUGACGGUACCAGAGGAAUAAGCACCGGCUAACUCCGUGCCAGCAGCCGCGGUAAUACGGAGGGUGCAAGCGUUGUCCGGAUUUAUUGGGUUUAAAGGGUGCGUAGGUGGUUUAGUAAGUCUGGUUUGAAAGCUGGUCGCUUAACGAUCAGAUGUGGCUGGAAACUGGUAAACUUGAAUGCGUUGGCGGUAGCCGGAACGGGUCAUGUAGCGGUGAAAUGCAUAGAUAUGACCCAGAACACCGAUUGCGAAGGCAGGCUACUACGACGUGAUUGACACUGAGGCACGAGAGCAUGGGUAGCGAACA
This 422-nucleotide ribosomal RNA is filed under the name uncultured Spirosoma sp. Its description in RNAcentral is "bacterial SSU rRNA". It matches the Rfam family "Bacterial small subunit ribosomal RNA", at positions 355 to 774 of the family's 1533-position model. Lineage: Bacteria; Pseudomonadati; Bacteroidota; Cytophagia; Cytophagales; Cytophagaceae. The record is from RNAcentral.